Molecule: long non-coding RNA, 867 nt
Organism: Alnus glutinosa
Lineage: Eukaryota; Viridiplantae; Streptophyta; Magnoliopsida; Fagales; Betulaceae
Exons: 3
Source: RefSeq, a predicted model, not a curated record
CUUUCACUUUUCUUUCUUUCUCUCCCUCCCACUUCUUCUCUCUCUUCCUUUUCUCCUUCUUUUUCUCUUUUCCCCUUUUCUCUCCCCUUGUUUCACGGCAGCAGCAGCCUCCCUCUUCCUUUCUUUCUUCUACCCAUUUCUCCUACUUCUUCUGUGCACCAGCCCAUGAGAGAUUGAGAGAGUGAGACGCAGAGAUGGAGAGACCCGUUAGUUCGAGAAGACCCACGACCUGCUGAACCCGAGAGGAAGACCCGAUCCUCCAUUAACGAACUCCGAUGGCCUGAGACACGAAAUCCGGCGAUGGAUGAGCAAUUUCCGGUGAGCCUUGCAAUCGGUGAACCGUAGAAACCCAAAGACCCGUUGAUUCGAGCAACCCGUGACCCGUACCCCGUGUGACCCAACGGCUUAAAGGCUAGGUUUCCGGCGAGUUUUCCGGCGGUCCAGUAGCGGUUUCCGGUGGAUUUGUUGAGAAAAAUCCCUAAGGAUCAUGUUCGGAUUGGAGACUUUAAUUGGUUCUCCAAUGUAGAGUCCAAGUGACUAGAGUCCAAGGAGUGUUCGAGUUGGAGUCCAAUGCAGCCAAGAUGAUGUUUCUUUGGCUGCAGGUACUUCGGUAUAGUCGAUGGGUCGGUAGCAGUGUGUAUGGGAUAUUAUGACUGAAGCUCACCGCGACGGUUAUAAUUGUCGGACCACGGGUUGUCCACUAUUUUAUAGGUUUGGUAUGGCUUGUGACGUUUGUGUCACUUAUUAAUUGUUAAGCCAUUAUUGUUAUAGUGUUAAUAAGACUCAAACAGAUAGAUGUUAAAUGGCUCUUUGUUGUAAUUAAUUUGUGAUAGAUGUAUAAGUUGUAAUUUCCGCUAUUCAGAUUUA